Molecule: non-coding RNA, 298 nt
Organism: Pelobates cultripes (western spadefoot toad)
Lineage: Eukaryota; Metazoa; Chordata; Amphibia; Anura; Pelobatidae
Source: the annotation of a GenBank genome assembly
CCUAUUUUAUGGAUUCAGGAAAAGAUUAAUUCUCCUUUGUUAGAGAUAUUACGAAAGGUUGGAUGUAGAUGCUUAAGAGACUUAUAUGUUAAUAAUGAAUUCCUUCCAUUUGACUAUAUUCAGUCUAAUUUUAAUAUUCCUGCUAACAUGUGGUUAGAAUAUAAUAGGUUGAAAUCGAGUAUUUACUCAUCGACUUAUCGCCUACAAGAGUUUAGACAGUUGCCUUUUGAAAAAAUAAUAUGUUCAACAAAUAGGAAGCAUAUGCUUUCGAAAUGUUUUAGUCUUUUGAGAGAUGGGG